CGGAAUGAGGAACUGCUUGAUUUCAAUAAAAACUGGGAAGAUCUCCAUGAAGUGAUGUGGAAUGAAAGGAGCAGAAGCAGGAGAACACACUGUACACAGUAACUGAAACAUUGUGGGACGAUCAAAUGUAACAGAUUCUGCUACUAAUAGCAAUGCAACGAUCAAGAAUCAUCCCAUAGAGCUCAUGAGUAAGAACGCUAUCCACAUUGAGAGAAAGAACCGUGGGAGCAGAAAUGCAAAAGAAAAUAUAUGGUUCAUUGAGGUCUGAUUAUUCCAUUUCAUUUUGGACAAUUAACUGGGGUAAAAACUCAUAUUUAUAUCAUAAAAGGAGUUCAGUAGCCAACCUUUGGUUACCCCUACACAUAGAAGGAUGGGAUAAGGAUGCUCUUCUAAUGAAAGAGACUGAGGGCCAGAUGGGGCCAAACAAGGAGUACGAGAAUCAUGAGGGAGCAGCAGAAUCAAAACUCAAAGUAGAGAGCUUUGAUUUGUUUUCAUUUCAGUCAUGUCCAACUCUUGAUGACCCCAUUUGGAGUGGAGAGACUAGAAUGGUUUGCUAUUUUCCUUUCCAGUUCAUUUGA
This 578-nucleotide long non-coding RNA is filed under the name Monodelphis domestica (gray short-tailed opossum). RNAcentral's name for it is "lncRNA (ENSMODG00000039984.1)". Lineage: Eukaryota; Metazoa; Chordata; Mammalia; Didelphimorphia; Didelphidae. The record is from RNAcentral.